Molecule: RNA transcript, 4050 nt
Organism: Nomascus leucogenys (northern white-cheeked gibbon)
Lineage: Eukaryota; Metazoa; Chordata; Mammalia; Primates; Hylobatidae
Gene: CORO1C
Gene name: coronin 1C
Exons: 12
Source: RefSeq, a predicted model, not a curated record
UAUAGAUGUGCUUUCCUUUUACUUCUCACCACCUCGUGGAAGCUGUCUUAUCUAACUCACGCUUGAGAAGUAUUCAUAUUGAUUCCAAAAUGAAGGACCCUGGCCACGAAUCAUUUGCCAUCUCCUCUACCAAAGACUCAAAAUGUAUGGGCCUGGUAGUCAGCUGGGAAAGUCUGGCAAUAACAGCUGGGCUAAGAAACGUGGAUGCUCAAUUGCCUGCCAAGGGUCUCUUACUUCAGCCCAGCUACAUGCCCCCAGCAUUGGAGAGAGGCCACUUUCACACAUGCCUUGGAAGGACACGAUGAGGCGAGUGGUACGACAGAGCAAGUUUCGGCAUGUAUUUGGGCAAGCGGUGAAAAAUGACCAGUGCUAUGAUGACAUCCGGGUUUCUCGUGUGACCUGGGAUAGUUCCUUUUGUGCUGUCAAUCCCAGAUUUGUUGCCAUAAUCAUAGAGGCAAGUGGGGGAGGAGCGUUCCUUGUCCUCCCUCUGCACAAGACUGGUCGAAUUGACAAAUCCUACCCUACCGUAUGUGGCCACACAGGACCAGUGCUGGACAUAGACUGGUGCCCACAUAACGAUCAGGUCAUUGCCAGCGGUUCAGAGGACUGCACGGUCAUGGUAUGGCAGAUCCCAGAAAAUGGACUCACCCUUUCCCUGACUGAACCUGUGGUGAUUUUGGAAGGCCACUCAAAGAGAGUCGGCAUCGUGGCUUGGCAUCCAACGGCCCGCAAUGUGCUUCUUAGCGCAGGCUGUGAUAAUGCCAUUAUCAUCUGGAAUGUGGGAACAGGGGAAGCCCUUAUAAACUUGGAUGAUAUGCAUUCAGACAUGAUUUACAAUGUGAGCUGGAACCGGAAUGGCAGUCUGAUCUGCACAGCUUCCAAAGACAAGAAAGUGAGAGUCAUUGACCCCAGGAAACAAGAGAUUGUUGCUGAGAAGGAGAAAGCACAUGAAGGAGCAAGACCCAUGAGAGCCAUCUUCCUGGCCGAUGGCAAUGUCUUCACCACUGGGUUCAGCCGCAUGAGCGAACGGCAGCUGGCUCUCUGGAAUCCGAAAAAUAUGCAGGAACCAAUUGCCCUUCAUGAGAUGGACACUAGCAAUGGGGUGUUGCUGCCUUUCUAUGACCCUGACACCAGCAUCAUUUACUUAUGUGGAAAGACAAGAUUGCCGUCAUUGUUCAGGGUGACAGCAGUAUUCGCUAUUUUGAGAUCACGGAUGAAUCCCCGUAUGUCCACUACCUCAACACAUUCAGCAGCAAGGAGCCUCAGAGAGGGAUGGGUUACAUGCCCAAGAGGGGACUUGAUGUUAACAAAUGUGAGAUUGCCAGAUUCUUCAAACUUCAUGAGAGAAAGUGUGAACCUAUUAUCAUGACUGUUCCCAGGAAGUCUGACCUUUUCCAAGAUGACCUGUAUCCUGACACAGCGGGGCCAGAGGCUGCACUGGAGGCAGAAGAGUGGUUCGAAGGCAAGAAUGCAGACCCAAUCCUCAUCUCCUUGAAGCACGGGUACAUUCCAGGCAAAAACAGGGAUCUCAAGGUGGUCAAGAAGAACAUUCUGGAUAGCAAGCCCACUGCAAACAAGAAGUGUGACCUGAUCAGCGUCCCCAAGAAAACCACGGACACGGCCAGUGUGCAAAAUGAAGCCAAGUUGGAUGAGAUUUUAAAAGAGAUCAAAUCUAUAAAAGACACAAUCUGCAAUCAAGAUGAGCGUAUUUCCAAGUUAGAACAGCAGAUGGCAAAAAUAGCAGCCUGAAGGUCCCACCCCCACCCCUACAAAAAAAAUGGGAGCAAGAACUUGUGCUUGGGAGCUGGUUGUUGGUGUGGUCCUAGGGAGGGCGGAAAGGGAGGCACUGCCAUUUGGAGACAUUCCAUUUCAGAUUUGUCAACCAGCGAUAGGCCACAUUCCAGUAAGAACUCAAUUUGUCUCCCAAAUUUGCAGAAACAAAACGUGAUUUAAAAGCUGAGCUUUUUAUCAGAAAGCUUUUUUGAUGUUUUAAGUGUUACGUGACUUGUUGAACUUUUUAAAAAGUGCUACUUUUAAAAUCCCAGAUACUCUGAAUUUUAGAAAACAAAUUUUAGAAAAAAAAAAAGUACCCUUUUUUUUUAAUGAAUAGGGACCAAUGCCACAUUGCUUUUUAUAUUUCUUUCUUUUUUAAUGUUGCCAAAACCAAAAGUAGCUUUGUUUUCGUUUGUAUUUUGCUACUUUGCAGUAUUUGUGUGUGGUUUUUUUUUUCCUUAAUUUGAAAGGGACAGCACUGUGUAUGUUUAUAAACUAAAUGAAGAUAAGAUAUUAUUUUCUAUAAACAUUCAUCUGAGAACAAUCAAAGCAGCAGCCACAUGGUGCUGGCUCCUUUGCAGCACAAACCUGGUCAUUUUGAUGACUGUACAACAGGAAGACUUGAAAAAUCACGUGGAUUCAUAUUACCACUGCUCUCAUUUCAUGGAGUCUUCUGAUCAAAAAAGCUCACAUCAUAUUUCUUCCUUUCCUUUCUCUUUUCUAGAAAUUGGGUGUUUGUACCAGAAUGGAAUUUUGCUUCUCGGUUAUCCUGUGCUUCAGAUGAUUAUAAUCUAACCCAAACUAGCAUGUGUUUCUGCAGUUUGUUACACAUCUAGGAUCUAUUGCAUUCAUCACUUUAAACAUCAUGUUUCAGGUUUUGGUCGAUACUUGACAAGGGUGCCCAGGAUGGGAAGACAUGUGUACUGCUGAGUGUUCCUUCUUGCCCUUUUCAGCAGCUUGCCCGGCUCUUGAGUACAGUGGUGGGGACUAAAAACGUGGGCAUGUGGAGAGGGGUAUUUGCCCUGGGUGAUCCUGUUUCCCUGUGCUGUCCCCAUGCUGUGUUGGAGGAGGAAGUGGCUCUCCUUCCACCAACAAAGCUCCUGCCCUACCCUCUUCCUCACAUGUGCUGCGACCUCUCUCAGGGCUCCCCCAGCCAUUCCUACUUUCCUUCCUGCCUUUUAGCUCUAACCACAUUAAGCUAAGACAAGGCCAGAGGGUGUGAUUGAAUGACUAUUGAGACUGAGGAGAAUGAUAGAGAGUGAAGCAGAAACAGGAGCGCAGACCUCUGCUGUAGCUUUAAUGCAUACAAACAUGUCCCUCCGCACAACUAACCGGCCUUGCCUCUCCAUCUCGCACCAAGGCUGUGUCAAAGCACAGAGGCUCCCUGGACUCGGAGGGGGCCAGAGACUGAGCUCUGGUUGCCUGUUCAUUCCUCAGUUAGCUGGAACUUUGCCCCAUUUCCAAUUUCUUAUAGUGCAUGCUUGGGAAACAAGAUUUAAGGAGCCUCUGUUCUGGAAGGGCUGUCUGUGAUUGAACGUGAAGUGUGUAGUGCCAUUGGGACCACGAAGGGAAUUCUUGCACAUGCUCGUGCUGGUGUGGGCAUGGGACUGGCUGGAAACGUCUGCAUACAGGGAGCCAGGGUGAGAGCGGAGUGUGGUGACAGCUGAACUUGGAGUAAUGUCCGUGUAGAAAAAGGACCAUAUUCUUAUCCAGCCAAUAUUGGGAGUGCUGUCUCCACAAUUUCAGGGCAUCUGAAUGUUUGAUGUGGUUUCGUGUGUGUGUAUGUGUAUGUGUGUGUUUAAUAUUGAAGUGGAUCAUGAGAUGUAAAGAAAACAAUAAUGACAAUGACUUAUAUUCAAACCUGUGUUUGUUUCUUUAUCAAUGUAAUCUGCUGAGGACCUUUUGUCUAAGAUUCAGAAGUGUUUUAAGGUUCUGAUAUCGAAUUAAUGAAGUAAAGUUGUUGAUGGUGGUGAAACACCGUAGGGCAUGUGGUUCAAAGAGAAGCAGGAGGGCAAGGGAAAGUUACCCUGAUCUUAGUUUGUAGCUUAUGACUUAUUUAAUGAACGGAUGCCCAGCCAAGCUCAGAGUAGGUGCCCCAAAGCAUUGUGGAUUAUUUUCCUGUUUUGUCUUUUUUUUUUUUUUUUUUUUUUUUUUUAAGCCGUGACAUCCCGGAAGAGGACAGUGAAUUACUCCUAGGUCGGCUCUUAUAGAGUGGUCAUAGUGUUCUGUCAAAACACUUGCUUCCAUUUUCAGAGAUAAAAAUCAUUGAUUACAAAA